GCAUUCUUGGUCCAAUGGUAGGAUAAUUGCCUUCCAAGCAAUUGGCCCGGGUUCGAUUCCCGGAGGAUGCA
This is a non-coding RNA of Neodidymelliopsis sp. IMI 364377, 71 nucleotides long. The record is from the annotation of a GenBank genome assembly. Lineage: Eukaryota; Fungi; Ascomycota; Dothideomycetes; Pleosporales; Didymellaceae.